This 600-nucleotide ribosomal RNA is filed under the name Methylobacterium sp. D4. RNAcentral's name for it is "bacterial SSU rRNA". It matches the Rfam family "Bacterial small subunit ribosomal RNA", at positions 91 to 725 of the family's 1533-position model. The record is from RNAcentral. Lineage: Bacteria; Pseudomonadati; Pseudomonadota; Alphaproteobacteria; Hyphomicrobiales; Methylobacteriaceae.
GUCAGCGGCAGACGGGUGAGUAACGCGUGGGAACGUGCCCUUCGGUUCGGAAUAACUCAGGGAAACUUGAGCUAAUACCGGAUACGUGCGAGAGCAGAAAGGUUUAUCUGCCGAAGGAUCGGCCCGCGUCUGAUUAGCUAGUUGGUGAGGUUACGGCUCACCAAGGCGACAAUCAGUAGCUGGUCUGAGAGGAUGAUCAGCCACACUGGGACUGAAACACGGCCCAAACUCCUACGGGAGGCAGCAGUGGGGAAUAUUGGACAAUGGGGGCAACCCUGAUCCAGCCAUGCCGCGUGAGUGAUGACGGCCUUAGGGUUGUAAAGCUCUUUUCUCCGGGACGAUAAUGACGGUACCGGAGGAAUAAGCCCCGGCUAACUUCGUGCCAGCAGCCGCGGUAAUACGAAGGGGGCUAGCGUUGCUCGGAAUCACUGGGCGUAAAGGGCGCGUAGGCGGCUGAUUUAGUCGAGGGUGAAAGCCCGUGGCUCAACCACGGAAUGGCCUUCGAUACUGAUUGGCUUGAGACCGGAAGAGGACAGCGGAACUGCGAGUGUAGAGGUGAAAUUCGUAGAUAUUCGCAAGAACACCAGUGGCGAAGGCGGC